AGUGAACGCUGGCGGCGUGCUUAACACAUGCAAGUCGAACGGUAACAGAACUAGCUUGCUAGUUGCUGACGAGUGGCGCACGGGUGAGUAAUAUAUAGUUAAUGUGCCUCGAAGACUGGGAUAGCCACUGGAAACGGUGAUUAAUACUGGAUACUCCUUCUAAUCAUAAGAUUAGUCGGGAAACGUUUUUUCGCUUCGAGAUCAGACUAUAUCCCAUCAGUUAGUUGGUAGUGUAAGAGACUACCAAGGCAAUGACGGGUAGCGGGUUUGAGAGGAGUGAUCCGCCACACGUGGUACGUGAGACACGGACCAGACUCCUACGGGAGGCAGCAGUGAAGGAAUAUUGCACAAUGGGCGAAAGCCUGAUGCAGCAACGCCGCGUGGAGGAUGACGCAUUUCGGUGUGUAAACUCCUUUUAUAUGUCAAGAAAAUGACGGUAGCAUAUGAAUAAGCACCGGCUAAC
RNAcentral lists this ribosomal RNA (463 nucleotides) under uncultured bacterium. RNAcentral describes it as "bacterial SSU rRNA". It matches the Rfam family "Bacterial small subunit ribosomal RNA", at positions 29 to 501 of the family's 1533-position model. The record is from RNAcentral.